UAUAGAGACUCAGAGCUGCAUAUCAAUAAGCGGAGGAAAAGAAACUAACAAGGAUUCCCUUAGUAACGGCGAGUGAAGCGGGAAGAGCUCAAAUUUGAAAUCUUCAAGGUUCUACCUUGACGAAUUGUAGUUUAUAGAAGUGUUUUCUGUUAGGAAGUUGGCUAAAAGUUCUUUGGAAUAGGACAUCAUAGAGGGUGAGAAUCCCGUAUUUGGUCAUUCUUUCUAGCUUUGUGAUACACUUUCAACGAGUCGGAUUGUUUGGGAAUGCAGUCCAAAAUGGGUGGUAAAUUUCAUCUAAAGCUAAAUAUAGGCGAGAGACCGAUAGCGAACAAGUACCGUGAGGGAAAGAUGAAAAGAACUUUGAAAAGAGAGUUAAACAGUACGUGAAAUUGUCAAAAGGGAAGCGUUUGACACCAGUGUUGUUUUUCCGAAAAUCAAUUACGAAUGUUUUAUUUUUGAGAAGUUAUGACUUCAUCGGCUUGCUUCUCUCUUUAUGAAACUUUCUUAAUGCACUUUUCGGUUAACAAGUCAACAUCAAUUUCUUUUGUUGUAAAAGGGUAUGAGGAAGGUGGCUUUCUUUUCGGAGAAAGUGUUUAUAGCCUUGUACCUCUGCAAUCGGAGAGAUUGAGGUCUGCAGCGUAGAUCCUUCGGGGUUAGAUACAUUUGUGCUAAGUUAUAGCUUUUCAUAGACAACUUGUUGACUAUGUUAGUCUUGUAGCUUACUCGCUUAUGCUAUUUUACCUACGCUUAGGAUGUUGAUAGUCACAGCGUGUAC
Molecule: ribosomal RNA, 775 nt
Filed under: uncultured Neocallimastigales
Lineage: Eukaryota; Fungi; Neocallimastigomycota; Neocallimastigomycetes; Neocallimastigales
Description: partial large subunit ribosomal RNA
Rfam family: Eukaryotic large subunit ribosomal RNA
Source: RNAcentral